CCUACGGGAGGCAGCAGUGGGGGAUAUUGCACAAUGGGGGAAACCCUGAUGCAGCGACGCCGCGUGGGGGAAGAAGUAUUUCGGUAUGUAAAGCCCUAUCAGCAGGGAAGAAGAAAUGACGGUACCUGAGUAAGAAGCCCCGGCUAAAUACGUGCCAGCAGCCGCGGUAAUACGUAUGGUGCAAGCGUUAUCCGGAUUUACUGGGUGGAAAGGGCGCGCAGGCGGCACGGCAAGCCUGAUGUGAAAGCCCGCGGCCCAACCGCGGGACUGCAUUGGGAACUGCCGGGCUGGAGUGCCGGAGAGGUAGGCGGAAUUCCUAGUGUAGCGGUGAAAUGCGUAGAUAUUAGGAGGAACACCAGUGGCGAAGGCGGCCUACUGGACGGUGACUGACGCUGAGGCUCGAAAGCGUGGGGAGCAAACAGGAUUAGAUACCCUGGUAGUC
RNAcentral lists this ribosomal RNA (442 nucleotides) under uncultured bacterium. RNAcentral's name for it is "partial 16S ribosomal RNA". It matches the Rfam family "Bacterial small subunit ribosomal RNA", at positions 338 to 795 of the family's 1533-position model. The record is from RNAcentral.